CUUGAAUUCAGGAAGACUUGGGUUCAAAUUUUACCUCAGUUGCUUCUUAGUUGUGUGACCUAGAAGGAAGUCGCUUAACUCUGGCUAGCCAUUACUUCUCUUCUGUCUUAGAAAUGAUACUGAAACAGAAGGUAAGAGUUUUUUCCCCCCCACAAUGGUCAUUAAAUCCAUUCCCCUUACAGCUGCUAAAGUGAUUUUCCUUGAGUAUGGAUUUGACCACAUCACCAGGGGUCCCAAAAGUCUUAGUUCAGCUUUAAACUAAUUAUAUUGUAAGCUGAUGGGGAGUUAUUGGGAAACGACAAGGAUAUUUUAAAAAGGAAAAAAAAAACAAAUAAAACAUUCAAAAUAAAAGGUAAGCUAGAGCUAACCCAUAAAAGGCUUUUAAAGCCAAGCCAAGGAGUUUGGAUUUUAUCAAACUAAUAGUGAGUCAUUUAAGAUUCUAGAGCAAGGGAGCAUAAGAUUUAAAUUAAUGUCCAAUAUUCCAAGAAUUAUAUUUUAUAGAGUUUAUUAAUAAUCACUUAAAGUAGAAGGAAUAAAGAGGAAAUAGAAGUAAAAAAAACUAAUUAUUUAACAAAAUUAAAACCAUGUGAGCAAGUUCUUCUGCCUUUGGAUAGCAAGAGCCGGGGCUACACCAAAUUUACAUCCUCCCUACAUCUGCACAUAAGGCAUGAAGACAUUGAGAGGCAAAAUAUAACUAUUUUUACAUGUGAGAACUUUGUGUUCCUGCCAAAUCUGAAGACUUAA
RNAcentral lists this long non-coding RNA (744 nucleotides) under Monodelphis domestica (gray short-tailed opossum). RNAcentral's name for it is "lncRNA (ENSMODG00000041682.1)". Lineage: Eukaryota; Metazoa; Chordata; Mammalia; Didelphimorphia; Didelphidae. The record is from RNAcentral.